CGAACAUUAAACCUCUUGUGAAAUCAAACUGCGGAGAACGAAAUAUUUGAGUUUUUGACUGCUGGACGGAAUCUACUGGAUACGAAUAUUGUUGGAGAAGUGAACGACUACAUAACAUCGUUUGUGGAGCACAGACGAGGCUGAAACAGGCCCUCAGGAGCGGCGGAGCAUCGAGGACGACCACCUGCUGAAGGAAGUUGGCUGUGUUCAAAUGGCCCAACGGUGCAGCUACACCAGCGUCCAGAUCCCGGACCCUAACCGGCCCGGGAUCCUGCGGACCAUCCUCAGGCUCAGAGGACUGCCUGACUGCUCCUCUGGAUCUUCAGGUAAGUCUUUAAAGGUAAGUCCCCCAGAACCACCUCGGGGACCAGGUAAGUCUUUAAAGGUAAGUCCCCCAGAACCACCUCAGGGACCAGGUAAGUCUUUAAAGGUAAGUCCCCCAGAACCACCUCAGGGACCAGGUAAGUCUUUAAGGGUAAGUGUGCAUGAGCCAUUAUUGAAAAGGAGCUGUGCUAGAGUAGGGUGGGAACCAUCACAGGUAAGUCCCCCUGAGCCUCCUCAGGGACCCGGGGAACCAUCACAGGUAAGUCCUGGUGAGUAUCGGCCGUUAUGGGACCAGCCUGAGCCAGAUUGGGUGGUAGAUAUGAGGGGUUAUCUAGAGUGGAGAGACCAGUUUGACAGCUGGUGGUGCAAUAGACGCACUGAUGCUCCAGGGAAGAUUAGGAACCAUAAUCCAAAUAAGAAUGUUUAUUCAUUUGAAAAGAAUUUAUCUGAGUUUAAAAUUACUUACCUGGAGUAAAAUGAUUUACAUCUUAUUAAUUUAGAUUAAUAAAGUUUCAUCAUGCUGUAUUUUUUGUAUUAAGUUGUAUUUAGUUGUAUGUUUUUAUUUGAUAGUAUUUCAGUAUUAACACACCUUCAAUCCUGGAAGACAGCUCCAGAAACCUGCUCAACCUCCAGCUUGAUCCCGAUCCAGGCCUGACACCUCCAUCCUUUAGUCUUCAAGCAGUCUGCAGGCUUCCUGAACCGCCAUCUCUGGUCCGUGCCGUUGACCUGAAACUCACCUCCACUCGGCUUAACAUCUACAAUCCACCUCUUCCGCUCCUGGCCUGAGCCUUCACCCGACACCUCCAUCCUUCAGUCAUCAAGCAGUCUGCAGUCUUCCUGGACCGCCAUCUCUGGUCCGUGCCGUUGACCUGAAACCCACCGCCAAGAGAUCGUCCCUUCUACGACCGUCGGUCAACCUGCUGGACUUCGCCUCACCACAUUUCGGGCCCCCUGACACACCUCUCGUGGGUCUAGGAUUCUGUGAAGGGCCCACUCCUGGAACCAGAAAGUCGUGGACUACUGGCGUUUUUACGUUUUGUGGUUUUUGUUAUCUGACCUAACAAAAUAAACCUUUUUG
This is a long non-coding RNA of Pungitius pungitius (ninespine stickleback), 1402 nucleotides long. RefSeq lists it as uncharacterized. NCBI's taxonomy places the organism in Eukaryota, Metazoa, Chordata, Actinopteri, Perciformes, Gasterosteidae. The record is from RefSeq and is a predicted model, not a curated record. The transcript is spliced from 3 exons.